RNAcentral lists this ribosomal RNA (253 nucleotides) under uncultured bacterium. Its description in RNAcentral is "partial 16S ribosomal RNA". It matches the Rfam family "Bacterial small subunit ribosomal RNA", at positions 524 to 776 of the family's 1533-position model. The record is from RNAcentral.
UACGUAGGGUGCGAGCGUUAAUCGGAAUUACCGGGCCUAAAGGGUGCGUAGGCCGGCCCGCAAGUGACUUGUGAAAUCCCCCGGCUCAACCGGGGAACAGCUCGUCAUACUGCGGGUCUUGAGGAAGGUAGGGGUUGCCAGAACUGUAGGUGGAGCGGUGAAAUGCGUAGAUAUCUACAGGAAUGCCGAUGGUGAAGACGGGCAACUGGGCCUUUCCUGACGCUGAGGCACGAAAGCGUGGGGAGCAAACAGG